This is a long non-coding RNA of Branchiostoma belcheri (Belcher's lancelet), 670 nucleotides long. RefSeq lists it as uncharacterized. The record is from RefSeq and is a predicted model, not a curated record. NCBI's taxonomy places the organism in Eukaryota, Metazoa, Chordata, Leptocardii, Amphioxiformes, Branchiostomatidae. The transcript is spliced from 3 exons.
UGACGUCAUGAGGUACACAGGUAGCCGUGACGUUUACACGCUCGGGGUGAUUUUUCCGUCUGCGGGCGGGAAGCUCCGUUGACUAAUCGCGCUUUCUGGCCUCCAGAUCAUGUCGAUCUGCUCUUUUCGUGGAAUCUAAGCCGAGGACAGUAGGAGAGGAACCCGCCCUAUCCACAGAGCGCCGCGGUUUUGCGUCGAGGAGUCGGGAGCGCUCGUGGUCGGCGCCCAAGUUGGGGAGUUGUUCGCCAUGGGGGAUGCCGAGCGGAACAUGGGGCCUGGGAUGUUACUCGUGUCUGCUAAUGUGGGCUCCAUAUUUGAAGAUCCGGAUAACAUGCUACCGGUGUGGUUGACGGAAUUCCUUUCGGUAGGGGGCGAGAGCUUUUAAUUUCCUGCCUUCUCCAAUCAUGUGAUUGUUUUGUGCUAUUCAUGUGUAAAUUUACAAAGCUGUUAAUUGUUAUACAUAUGAUGUAUACUGUACUUUAUUUUUCCCAAUAUUAUAUGGUAUUAGACAUAAUAAACACAUGUAGGUGGACCUUUGUAUUGAUAUUAGUAUUGUUCACUUUUGCCAUUAAGGAAUUGGCUAUACCAAAUCAACUUUUCUCUCAUGUUUGAUAUGUGCCCGGGGUGCUAUCAAAGUGGGAUUAACAAAAUGUUGUCAACCCCUUUCUGU